This 56-nucleotide transfer RNA is filed under the name Ctenophorus decresii. Its description in RNAcentral is "tRNA-Cys". The record is from RNAcentral. Lineage: Eukaryota; Metazoa; Chordata; Lepidosauria; Squamata; Agamidae.
AGACCUGAGGGCCUACUUAACCCAAAAUCCGACUUGCAAUCAGACUACUCCAGAUC